This 460-nucleotide ribosomal RNA is filed under the name uncultured bacterium. Its description in RNAcentral is "partial 16S ribosomal RNA". It matches the Rfam family "Bacterial small subunit ribosomal RNA", at positions 338 to 795 of the family's 1533-position model. The record is from RNAcentral.
CCUACGGGGGGCAGCAGUAGGGAAUAUUGGUCAAUGGCCGGAAGGCUGAACCAGCCAUGCCGCGUGAAGGUCAGUGCCCUAUGGGCGUUAAACUUCUUUUGUGCGGGAGCAAUAAUGGUCACGUGUGGCCAGACGAGAGUACCGUACGAAUAAGCAUCGGCUAACUCCGUGCCAGCAGCCGCGGUAAUACGGGGGAUGCAAGCGUUAUCCGGAUUUAUUGGGUUUAAAGGGUGCGUAGGCUGUGAGGUAAGUCAGCGGGGAAAUGCCCCCGCUCAACGGGGUGAAGUGCCAUUGAUACUGCCUUGCUGGAAUGCGGAUGCCGUGGGAGGAAUGUGUGGUGUAGCGGUGAAAUGCAUAGAUAUCACACAGAACACCGAUUGCGAAGGCAUCUCACGAAUCCGCGAUUGACGCUGAUGCACGAAAGCGUGGGUAUCAAACAGGAUUAGAUACCCGGGUAGUC